GACGAACGCUGGCGGCGUGCUUAACACAUGCAAGUCGAACGGAAAGGCCCUGCUUUUGUGGUGUGCUCGAGUGGCGAACGGGUGAGUAACACGUGAGUAACCUGCCCUUGACUUUGGGAUAACUUCAGGAAACUGUGGCUAAUACCGGAUAGGAGCUCCUGCUGCAUGGUGGGGGUUGGAAAGUUUCGGCGGUUGGGGAUGGACUCGCGGCUUAUCAGCUUGUUGGUGGGGUAGUGGCUUACCAAGGCUUUGACGGGUAGCCGGCCUGAGAGGGUGACCGGCCACAUUGGGACUGAGAUACGGCCCAGACUCAUACGGGAGGCAGCAGUGGAGAAUAUUGCACAAUGGGCGGAAGCCUGAUGCAGCAACGCCGCGUGCGGGAUGACGGCCUUCGGGUUGUAAACCGCUUUCGCCUGUGACGAAGCGUGAGUGACGGUAAUGGGUAAAGAAGCACCGGCUAACUACGUG
RNAcentral lists this ribosomal RNA (468 nucleotides) under uncultured bacterium. Its description in RNAcentral is "partial 16S ribosomal RNA". It matches the Rfam family "Bacterial small subunit ribosomal RNA", at positions 28 to 507 of the family's 1533-position model. The record is from RNAcentral.